CAAUGGCCGGUACAAUGCGAAGCGAAGCAGUGAUGUGAAGCAAAUCGCACCAAAGCCGGUCCCAGUUCGGAUAAGAGGCUGAAACUCGCCUCUUUGAAGUCGGAAUCGCUAGUAAUCGCAGAUCAGCAUGUUGCGGUGAAUACGUUCCCGGGUCUUGUACACACCGCCCGUCAAACCAUGAGAGUCACCAACACCCGAAGUCCGCUUUGGCGGCCUAAGGUGGGGGAGAUGAUUGGGGUUAAGUCGUAACAAGGUAAC
This 258-nucleotide ribosomal RNA is filed under the name uncultured bacterium. Its description in RNAcentral is "partial 16S ribosomal RNA". It matches the Rfam family "Bacterial small subunit ribosomal RNA", at positions 1228 to 1500 of the family's 1533-position model. The record is from RNAcentral.